This 506-nucleotide ribosomal RNA is filed under the name uncultured bacterium. RNAcentral's name for it is "partial 16S ribosomal RNA". It matches the Rfam family "Bacterial small subunit ribosomal RNA", at positions 29 to 523 of the family's 1533-position model. The record is from RNAcentral.
AGUGAACGCUGGCGGCAGGCCUAACACAUGCAAGUCGAACGGCAGCACAGGGGAGCUUGCUCCCUGGGUGGCGAGUGGCGGACGGGUGAGGAAUACAUCGGAAUCUACCCUUUCGUGGGGGAUAACGUAGGGAAACUUACGCUAAUACCGCAUACGAUCUGAGGAUGAAAGCAGGGGACCGCAAGGCCUUGCGCGAUUGGAUGAGCCGAUGUCCGAUUAGCUAGUUGGCGGGGUAAAGGCCCACCAAGGCGACGAUCGGUAGCUGGUCUGAGAGGAUGAUCAGCCACACUGGAACUGAGACACGGUCCAGACUCCUACGGGAGACAGCAGUGGGGAAUAUUGGACAAUGGGCGCAAGCCUGAUCCAGCCAUGCCGCGUGUGUGAAGAAGGCCUUCGGGUUGUAAAGCACUUUUGUUGGGAAAGAAAUCCUGUCGGCUAAUACCCGGCGGGGAUGACGGUACCCAAAGAAUAAGCACCGGCUAACUUCGUGCCAGCAGCCGCGGUAA